RNAcentral lists this ribosomal RNA (532 nucleotides) under Skeletonema marinoi. RNAcentral describes it as "partial Bacterial large subunit ribosomal RNA". It matches the Rfam family "Bacterial large subunit ribosomal RNA", at positions 1132 to 1719 of the family's 2925-position model. The record is from RNAcentral. Lineage: Eukaryota; Bacillariophyta; Thalassiosirophyceae; Thalassiosirales; Thalassiosiraceae.
GCGUAACAGCUCACUAGUCGAGCGGUUCGGCAUGGAUAAUAAUCGGGCAUAAACAUAUUACCGAAGCUAUGGACUUGAAAAAGUGGUAGGGGAGCAUUGUAGUGUCGUCGAAGGUGUACUGCGAGGUAUGCUGGAGAAGCUACAAAAGAAAAUGUAGGCAUAAGUAACGAUAAUGCGGGCGAGAAACCCGCACACCGAAAGACUAAGGUUUCCUCAGCUAUGCUAAUCAGCUGAGGGUUAGUCGGGACCUAACGCGAACCCGAAAGGGGUAGUGGAUGGACAACAGAUUAAUAUUUCUGUACCUGCUCACACUAAAAGUGACGGAGGCGAAAAGUUAGUGCGUACUGACGGAAUAGUACGUUGAAGCGAGUGGUAACACCGCGAUAGUACACUGAGACUACGGUCAAGGUGAUAAUCUAGCAAAUCGACUUCCAAGAAAAGCGAGUGAAGCAGCCCGUACCCUAAACCGACACAGGUAGUUGGGAUGAGAAUUCUAAGGUGCUCGAGAGAUUCAUGGCUAAGGAACUAGGCA